UACGGAGGGAGCUAGCGUUAUUCGGAAUUACUGGGCGUAAAGCGCACGUAGGCGGCUUUGUAAGUAAGAGGUGAAAGCCUGGAGCUCAACUCCAGAAUAGCCUUUUAGACUGCAUCGCUUGAAUCAUGGAGAGGUGAGUGGAAUUCCGAGUGUAGAGGUGAAAUUCGUAGAUAUUCGGAAGAACACCAGUGGCGAAGGCGACACACUGGGCCAUUACUGACGCUGAGGCGCGAAAGCGUGGGGAGCAAACAGG
This 253-nucleotide ribosomal RNA is filed under the name uncultured bacterium. RNAcentral describes it as "partial 16S ribosomal RNA". It matches the Rfam family "Bacterial small subunit ribosomal RNA", at positions 524 to 776 of the family's 1533-position model. The record is from RNAcentral.